Molecule: ribosomal RNA, 253 nt
Filed under: uncultured bacterium
Lineage: Bacteria
Description: partial 16S ribosomal RNA
Rfam family: Bacterial small subunit ribosomal RNA
Source: RNAcentral
UACGUAGGUGGCAAGCGUUGUCCGGAUUUACUGGGCGUAAAGAGCGCGCAGGCGGUCGUUCAAGUCGCGUGUGAAAGCCCCCGGCUCAACUGGGGAGGGUCACGCGAUACUGAUCGACUCGAAGGCAGGAGAGGGUAGUGGAAUUCCCGGUGUAGUGGUGAAAUGCGUAGAUAUCCGGAGGAACACCAGUGGCGAAGGCGACUUUCUGGCCUGUUCUUGACGCUGAGGCGCGAAAGCUAGGGGAGCAAACGGG